This 254-nucleotide ribosomal RNA is filed under the name uncultured bacterium. RNAcentral's name for it is "partial 16S ribosomal RNA". It matches the Rfam family "Bacterial small subunit ribosomal RNA", at positions 524 to 776 of the family's 1533-position model. The record is from RNAcentral.
UACGGAGGGUGCAAGCGUUGUCCGGAAUCACUGGGCGUAAAGGGCGCGUAGGCGGCUCAUGAAGGCUGUGGUGAAAAGUCCGGGGCUCAACCUCGGAUCGGCCGUGGCGACUCGUGGGCUGGAGCACUGUAGAGGCGGGUGGAAUUCCGGGUGUAGCGGUGGAAUGCGUAGAGAUCCGGAAGAACACCAGUGGCGAAGGCGGCCCGCUGGGCAGUGGCUGACGCUGAGGCGCGACAGCGUGGGGAGCAAACAGG